UUCGGCGUGGUAUAGAGGAUAAAACACCAGUCCGGUCUACUGAAGAUGCUGGUUCGCCCCCAGCCGCCGAAU
Molecule: non-coding RNA, 72 nt
Organism: Meloidogyne enterolobii
Lineage: Eukaryota; Metazoa; Nematoda; Chromadorea; Rhabditida; Meloidogynidae
Source: the annotation of a GenBank genome assembly